This 464-nucleotide ribosomal RNA is filed under the name uncultured bacterium. RNAcentral describes it as "partial 16S ribosomal RNA". It matches the Rfam family "Bacterial small subunit ribosomal RNA", at positions 28 to 507 of the family's 1533-position model. The record is from RNAcentral.
GACGAACGCUGGCGGCGUGCUUAACACAUGCAAGUCGAACGGAAAGGCCCUGCUUGCGGGGGGCUCGAGUGGCGAAAGCGUGAGUGACACGCGGGUGAUAUGCGCUCCUCUUCGUGAGAUGCCUUCGAGACUGGGUCUAUAAUAGGGUAGGGGCCCUUCUGCUUGAUGGGGUGGGAAGGUUUGUUUGGUUGGGGGUGGGUUCGCGGCCUGUCAGCUUGUUGGUGGGGUAGUGGCUUACCAAGGCUUUGACGGGUAGCCGGCCGGAGAGGGUGACCGGCCACAUUGGGACUGAGAUACGGCCCAGACUCCUCCGGGAGGCAGCAGUGGGGAAUAUUGCACAAUGGGCGGAAGCCGGAUGCAGCAACGCCGCGUGCGGGAUGACGGCCUUCGGGUUGUAACCCGUUUUCGCCUGUGACGAAGCGUGAGUGACGGUAAUGAGUAAAGAAGCACCGGCUAACUACGUG